RNAcentral lists this ribosomal RNA (172 nucleotides) under Klebsiella pneumoniae. RNAcentral describes it as "partial 23S ribosomal RNA". It matches the Rfam family "Bacterial large subunit ribosomal RNA", at positions 2771 to 2925 of the family's 2925-position model. Lineage: Bacteria; Pseudomonadati; Pseudomonadota; Gammaproteobacteria; Enterobacterales; Enterobacteriaceae. The record is from RNAcentral.
CUGAAAGCAUCUAAGCACGAAACUUGCCCCGAGAUGAGUUCUCCCUGAGACUAUAAGUCUCCUGAAGGAACGUUAAAGACGAUGACGUUGAUAGGCCGGGUGUGUAAGCGCAGCGAUGCGUUGAGCUAACCGGUACUAAUGAACCGUGAGGCUUAACCUUACAACGCCGAAG